This is a long non-coding RNA of Ipomoea nil (Japanese morning glory), 863 nucleotides long. RefSeq lists it as uncharacterized. NCBI's taxonomy places the organism in Eukaryota, Viridiplantae, Streptophyta, Magnoliopsida, Solanales, Convolvulaceae. The record is from RefSeq and is a predicted model, not a curated record. The transcript has 2 exons.
GCGGACAUGGCGCCUCCACGCCGAAAUCGUACUUGAUUUUUCUCAGGCAGGCUUGAAGACCAAAGCACGAAAAUGGAAGCCUGGGCGUCGCUGCAGAAGGAGCUCUGUGUGCCCUAUUUCAGCAUCUCCCACCCUUUAUCUCCAAGAAGCUUGUUGAACAGGAAGUUGAACAAGUAGUGUUAACCAGCCAAAAGGGGAUCUGGGAAGUUGAAACCCAUAGGUCUGGAGUAACACUCUGCUUCACAAAGGGGUGGGAUGAUUUUGUCCUGCAACAUGGCCUACGCAAUGGAGAUUUUUUACUGUUUAAACACACUGGCUACUCGAGUUUUAAAGUCAGGGUGUUUGGUCUCACUUGCUGCGAGAGAGAUUUCAUAAGUAAAUUGAAUCUACUGUUGACAAUCCUUUUUCUUGUUAAUACUGUAGUAGUGAAUUUGUAGCUUGGGAUCUUGAAGCAAAAGAUUAAGUUACCUGCCGCCUUUUGCAAAGCUAAUGACCUUUAUUGCGAUGCAAGAAUAUGUCUGAAAGGUCCAUGUAGUGAAGAAGAAGCUAGCCUUAAAGUUUGCCCAGGUGGGAGGACUAAAUAUGCUGUCAUUACUAGGGGAUGGUCUAAGUUCAUUGCAGAUAAUGAUCUGAAAGUAGGAGAUAUUUGCACCUUCAAACUCCGUAGCACAGGAAGCAGUUCAAAUGGUGUUGUAUUUGAUGUUGAAGUUCUUCGCAAAUCAACCUAGUUUCUCAUUUGGAGGGAUUCUUUCUAGUGUUCAUCUAUAUACGAAGUUUAAACUCGAGAUCUUUUUUUGUUGAAGUUUGGACAAGAAACUCUACUAGUAGGCCAUUAUGAUGUGAGUUGGGAAAUCUUACCCAUU